Molecule: ribosomal RNA, 253 nt
Filed under: uncultured bacterium
Lineage: Bacteria
Description: partial 16S ribosomal RNA
Rfam family: Bacterial small subunit ribosomal RNA
Source: RNAcentral
UACGGAGGGUGCAAGCGUUGUUCGGAUUUAUUGGGCGUAAAGCGCGCGCAGGCGGAUUGGAAAGUCAGAUGUGAAAUCCCGGGGCUCAACCUCGGAACUGCGUCUGAAACUAUCAGUCUAGAAUCUUGGAGAGGGUUGGGGAAUUUCACGUGUAGGGGUAAAAUCCGUAGAGAUGUGAAGGAACACCAGUGGCGAAGGCGCCGACCUGGACAAGUAUUGACGCUGAGGCGCGAAAGCGUGGGGAGCAAACAGG